CCAAGAAGAAAAAGGAAAGAAGAAAAAGGAAAGAAACGAGGGCAACAAGCAGCCGCCGCUGUCUCCACCACUCCACCAGUCCGUUCUCGCCGGCGCCUCUGUCCCCAAAUCCAAAUGGCGGACGAGGCCGCCGGAGCGAACUGCCCUCGCCGCAGCGCGCGCCUCCGCCCCCAGAUUCACGCGAAUGAGGAGGAAGCCGAAAUUGCAACACGCCGUUGCAGCCCGCGCCUCCAUCCCCAAACCCUCGCGAGCAAGGAGGUCUCCGGAGUGACCCGCCGCCGCCGCCGCGGCACGCGCCUCCGUCCCCAGAUCCACGGUAAUGAGGAGGGCGCCGGGGUGACCCGCCGCAGCAGCCCGCGAUUCCAUCCCCAAAUCCACGCGAGUGGGGAUGGGGAGGCCGCGCGUGUGACCCGCCGCCGCCGCCGCGGAACCUCGCCGGAGGCGGCUGAGUCCCUGCCGGCCAGCGACGAUCUCCUCCGGGAGAUCCUCCUCCGCCUCCCGCCGCAGCCGUCCUCCCUCCCACGCGCCGCCGCCGCCUGCAAGCGCUGGCUGCGCGUCGCCGCCGACCCCCGGUUCCUCCGCGGCUUCUCUGCCCGCCACCGCAAGCCGCCCCUCCUCGGCGUCUUCGAGCCCCUCGACUGGGAGAUCGACUCGUGUGGUCGCCUUAAUCGUCGCUCCUUCAAGCGCCGCGACAAGUGGAUUGAGUUCAGGCCCAUCCUCGACCCUCCCAACCGGAUCCCUCCUCAGCGCUUCGACCUGCGACGUCACGGCGUCGAAACCGGCAUCCGCUCCAGGGCCCAGCUGCUCGGGUGCCGCCACGGCCGCCUUCUCAUCAUGGACGAUGUGCACGCAGACUUUGUUGUCUACGCCCCCAUCACGGGCGAGCAGCGCCGUUUGGCCGUUCCCACGGAGUUCAAGAGGGACUUUGUCCAUGCGGCGGUGCUCUGUGCUGCCGGCGAGCUUGGCCACGUGCACGGCAGCUGCCAUUGGAGCCCAUUCAAGGUGGUCUUGGUGUCCAUGUACAGAAAGGAUAAUCGGCCGGUUGCUUGUGUUUACUCCUCGGAGGCUGGUGUGUGGGGCAAUCUUAUUUCCACAGACGCUCGAUGCGGGCUUGUUGAUGCUAAUCCCGGGAUUCUUGUUGGUAAUGUCCUUUACUGGUCGUCUAAGUCUGUGUGUGACGGUGAAGGUUUGUGGGGUUUAGAUAGGCUCACAAAUGAUAUAAUUGAGUUUGAUUUGGAUACACAUAGCCUAGCUGUGAUCAAGGGGCCUCCCUGUCUCAAUAACUCACUCAGACAUCAGAUCAUCAAGGCAGACGAUGGUUCUGUUGGUCUCACCGUGGUGUUUUAUGGUAGAUUUGAAAUGUGGCAGAGGAAGAUUGAUCGUCAUGGUGUUGCCACAUGGUUAAAUCACAAGAGCAUUCAAAUGCAUCUUGUUCUUGGGCUCUCUCAUCAGCUUGAGAGAUUGACGAGAUGGAUACAAAUUAUGGGGUAUGAUGAGGAUAAUGGUGUAAUAUUUUUACAUGUGGAUGCCAGUGUCUACAUGGUUCAACUGAUGUCGAUGCAAUCCAAGAAACUUUAUCGAAGCUAUACUCCCAAUUAUAGAUGUCACCCUUUCACAAGUUUCUAUGCGCCAGCUUUUAUUAAUCGUCUGACUUCUUAUGCGUCUGGUCACAGCCAUUCCUGGUGGAUGCAAUGGAGCUGAGAUGUUGCACGAUAUGUAGGAUGACUGUCUGGUUGCAUGUGAUAAUGUGCUCGAAUGGUUCAACAGGUGAAGUAAUUAAGAGCAGCAGCUGUUCUCACAAGUUUGUCGUGUUGCAUCGAUGUGGUCGGCAGUGUGUAUAUAUGUUAUGUGGAAGAAUGUACUGUGCUUGUGCCGUAGCCUAACUAAGUUUGUAAUGUAACAAGAGCUUUUUAAUAUAUAUUCGAAGGAAGUUCAAGACA
This is an RNA transcript of Triticum aestivum (bread wheat), 1940 nucleotides long. RefSeq lists it as uncharacterized. The record is from RefSeq and is a predicted model, not a curated record. The transcript is spliced from 3 exons. Lineage: Eukaryota; Viridiplantae; Streptophyta; Magnoliopsida; Poales; Poaceae.